UACGUAGGGUGCGAGCGUUAAUCAGAAUUACUGGGCGUAAAGCGUGCGCAGGCGGUUUGCUAAGACAGGCGUGAAAUCCCCCGGGCUUAACCUGGGAAUGGCAUUGAGGACUGCACGGCUAGAGUGUGGCAGAGGGGGGGUGGAAUUCCGCGUGUAGCAGUGAAAUGCGUAGAUAUCGAGAGGAACACCUGCGGCGAAGGCGGGUUGCUGGGCUGACACUGACGCUGAGGCGCGAAAGCUAGGGGAGCGAACGGG
RNAcentral lists this ribosomal RNA (255 nucleotides) under uncultured bacterium. RNAcentral describes it as "partial 16S ribosomal RNA". It matches the Rfam family "Bacterial small subunit ribosomal RNA", at positions 524 to 776 of the family's 1533-position model. The record is from RNAcentral.